RNAcentral lists this ribosomal RNA (468 nucleotides) under uncultured bacterium. RNAcentral describes it as "partial 16S ribosomal RNA". It matches the Rfam family "Bacterial small subunit ribosomal RNA", at positions 28 to 507 of the family's 1533-position model. The record is from RNAcentral.
GACGAACGCUGGCGGCGUGCUUAACACAUGCAAGUCGAACGGAAAGGCCCUGCUUUUGUGGGGUGCUCGAGUGGCGAACGGGUGAGUAACACGUGAGUAACCUGCCCUUGACUUUGGGAUAACUUCAGGAAACUGGGGCUAAUACCGGAUAGGAGCUCCUGCUGCAUGGUGGGGGUUGGAAAGUUUCGGCGGUUGGGGAUGGACUCGCGGCUUAUCAGCUUGUUGGUGGGGUAGUGGCUUACCAAGGCUUUGACGGGUAGCCGGCCUGAGAGGGUGACCGGCCACAUGGGGACUGAGAUACGGCCCAGACUCCUACGGGAGGCAGCAGUGGGGAAUAUUGCACAAUGGGGGGAAGCCUGAUGCAGCAGCGCCGCGUGCGGGAUGACGGCCUUCGGGUUGUAAACCGCUUUCGCCUGUGACGAAGCGGGAGUGACGGUAAUGGGUAAAGAAGCACCGGCUAACUACGUG